CCUACGGGAGGCAGCAGUGGGGAAUAUUGGGCAAUGGAGGAAACUCUGACCCAGCGACGCCGCGUGCGGGAUGAAGGCCUUCGGGUUGUAAACCGCUUUCAGCAGGGAAGAAGCGAAAGUGACGGUACCUGCAGAAGAAGCACCGGCUAACUAUGUGCCAGCAGCCGCGGUAAUACAUAGGGUGCAAGCGUUGUCCGGAAUUAUUGGGCGUAAAGAGCUCGUAGGUGGUUCGUCACGUCGGAUGUGAAAAUCUGGGGCUUAACCCCAGACCUGCAUUCGAUACGGGCGAGCUUGAGUAUGGUAGGGGAGUCUGGAAUUCCUGGUGUAGCGGUGGAAUGCGCAGAUAUCAGGAGGAACACCAAUGGCGAAGGCAGGACUCUGGGCCAUUACUGACACUGAGGAGCGAAAGCGCGGGGAGCGAACAGGAUUAGAUACCCUGGUAGUCCACGCCGUAAACGGUGGGCACUAGUUGUGGGGACCUUCCACGGUCUCUGCGACGCNGCACGCAUAGUGCCCGCCGUCGGGAGUACGANCGCAGAUAAACUACAAUAGAGUAGACGGCGUGAGACGUGCCGACGGACGACGACGACGGGAGGUUAGG
This 601-nucleotide ribosomal RNA is filed under the name uncultured bacterium. Its description in RNAcentral is "bacterial SSU rRNA". It matches the Rfam family "Bacterial small subunit ribosomal RNA", at positions 338 to 1533 of the family's 1533-position model. The record is from RNAcentral.